GUCGAGCGGACAGAUGGGAGCUUGCUCCCUGAUGUUAGCGGCGGACGGGUGAGUAACACGUGGGUAACCUGCCUGUAAGACUGGGAUAACUCCGGGAAACCGGGGCUAAUACCGGAUGCUUGAUUGAACCGCAUGGUUCAAUUAUAAAAGGUGGCUUUUACGUACCACUUACAGAUGGACCCGCGGCGCAUUAGCUAGUUGGUGAGGUAACGGCUCACCAAGGCACCGAUGCGUAGCCGACCUGAGAGGGUGAUCGCCCACACUGGGACUGAGACACGGCCCAAACUAAUACGGGAGGCAGCAGUAGGGAAUCUUCCGCAAUGGACGAAAGUCUGACGGAGCAACGCCGCGUGAGUGAUGAAGGUUUUCGGAUCGUAAAACUCUGUUGUUAGGGAAGAACAAGUACCGUUCGAAUAGGGCGGUACCUUGACGGUACCUAACCAGAAAGCCACGGCUAACUACGUGCCAGCAGCCGCGGUAAUACGUAGGUGGCAAGCGUUGUCCGGAAUUAUUGGGCGUAAAGCGCGCGCAGGCGGUUUCUUAAGUCUGAUGUGAAAGCCCCCGGCUCAACCGGGGAGGGUCAUUGGAAACUGGGGAACUUGAGUGCAAAAAAGGAAAGUGGAAUUCCACGUGUAGCGGUGAAAUGCGUAAAGAUGUGGAGGAACACCAGUGGCGAAGGCAACUCUCUGGUCUGUAACUGACGCUGAGGCGCGAAAGCGUGGGGAGCGAACAGGAUUAGAUACCCUGGUAGUCCACGCCGUAAACAAUGAGUGCUAAGUGUUAAAGGGUUUCCGCCCUUUAGUGCUGCAGCAAACGCAUUAAGCACUCCGCCUGGGGAGUACGGUCGCAAGACUGAAACUCAAAGGAAUUGACGGGGGCCCGCACAAGCGGUGGAGCAUGUGGUUUAUUUCGAAGCAACGCGAAAAACCUUACCAGGUCUUGACAUCCUCUGACAACCCUAGAGAUAGGGCUUCCCCU
RNAcentral lists this ribosomal RNA (978 nucleotides) under Bacillus licheniformis. RNAcentral's name for it is "bacterial SSU rRNA". It matches the Rfam family "Bacterial small subunit ribosomal RNA", at positions 61 to 1019 of the family's 1533-position model. Lineage: Bacteria; Bacillati; Bacillota; Bacilli; Caryophanales; Bacillaceae. The record is from RNAcentral.